Pelobates cultripes (western spadefoot toad) is the source of this 538-nucleotide non-coding RNA. The record is from the annotation of a GenBank genome assembly. NCBI's taxonomy places the organism in Eukaryota, Metazoa, Chordata, Amphibia, Anura, Pelobatidae.
ACAUACAUACAUACAUACAUACCGGGUAAUUCACAAAAAUAAGAAUUGUCAGGAAUUCAUAAUGGAUUUCAAAGUGGAUGACAGAAUAGUCAAACUGGAAGCAUUGUAUACCUGACAAUUGUGUUAGUGAAUAACCUUGUGAGACAUGAAUUAUCACACACCAUCACUAUCAUCACAGACACACCAAAACACAGUCACAGACAUACACGCAUUAACACAAUUACGAACAUUCAUAAAAAACCAAACAAAACACAAAGGCACAUAAAGACACAACACACUCAGUCACAUAGACACAGGCUUAUGUAUAGCAGGUUGGUUGGUAGGUUAACUGAAUUGGUGUUCACGUGGGUUGUGACGGUAGGUAGGUAGUUACUCAGCAGAGUAUUGCUGGUGUAACACCACCUACACUUAGCAGCUCAUUUGCCAGCUACAGACUGGGGGAGUUUCUAGGGCUGGGAGGUUUUCACGGCUGCAUUCUAAAGCAGUCACUCACUCUCCUGAGCCCUACUAUGUUCCAAGCUGUGACACUCUUCCCUGC